This 343-nucleotide small RNA is filed under the name uncultured bacterium. Its description in RNAcentral is "bacterial SSU rRNA". It matches the Rfam family "Bacterial small subunit ribosomal RNA", at positions 47 to 358 of the family's 1533-position model. The record is from RNAcentral.
CCUUACACAGGAAAGAAGAACGGAUUUUACAUUGAUUGGGCUUCGGUUCAAUUAUUGCAAAAUUAGUGGCGAACGGGUGAGUAACACGUGGGUAAUUUACCUUCCAGAUUAGAAUAACUCCCCGAAAGGGGUGCUAAUACUGAAUAAGACCACAGGGACUGAUGUCCCAGAGGUUAAAGAUGGCCUCUAUUUAUAAGCUAUCACUGAAAGAUAAGCCCGCGUCCCAUUAGCUAGUUGGUGAGGUAAUGGCCACCAAGGCAAUGAUGGGUAGCCGGCCUGAGAGGGUGACCGGCCACACUGGGACUGCGUCACGGCCCAGACUCCUACGGGAGGCAGCAGUGGG